GAUGAACGCUGGCGGCGUGCUUAACACAUGCAAGUCGAACGGGAAACCUUUUAUUGAAGCUUCGGCAGAUUUAGCUGGUUUCUAGUGGCGGACGGGUGAGUAACGCGUGGGUAACCUGCCUUAUACAGGGGGAUAACAGUCAGAAAUGGCUGCUAAUACCGCAUAAGCGCACAGAGCUGCAUGGCUCAGUGUGAAAAACUCCGGUGGGAUAAGAUGGACCCGCGUUGGAGUAGCUGGUUGGUGGGGUAACGGCCCACCAAGGCGACGAUCCAUAGCCGGCCUGAGAGGGUGAACGGCCACAUUGGGACUGAGACACGGCCCAGACUCCUACGGGAGGCAGCAGUGGGGAAUAUUGCACAAUGGGGGAAACCCUGAUGCAGCGACGCCGCGUGAAGGAAGAAGUAUCUCGGUAUGUAAACUUCUAUCAGCAGGGAAGAUAAUGACGGUACCUGACUAAGAAGCCCCGGCUAACUACGUG
RNAcentral lists this ribosomal RNA (478 nucleotides) under uncultured bacterium. RNAcentral describes it as "partial 16S ribosomal RNA". It matches the Rfam family "Bacterial small subunit ribosomal RNA", at positions 28 to 507 of the family's 1533-position model. The record is from RNAcentral.